AUAGAAGGUAGUAAGCUGAGAUGUAUAACGAUCGAUAAUUCCUACGAAUUUGUAACGCAAGCGAGUGAUGGGUGAAUGGAUAUAAGUAGUUCGUUUCGUGCCUCUCUUGUCGUGUUAAGCGCGAUCUAUGUGUAAUAGAGCGACACAGGAUAGUGAUAUAGAUAGAGACAGAGAGCUCGAUCCAGUUGGAGUAGAGCAUGAUUGCGGUUAGUAGAAAAAAGCAAGUAGGAAGAAAAUAAGAUGCUUGGACGCAAAUGAAAGUGAGUAAGCGGUUCCCCGGCGUUCCAGUUUUCAGCUGGGCGUUGUCCCCAUAAAAUAGUUGCAUUUCACUCUCGUUCCCAAUGAUGGAUGAUAACUGUGCAAGGUUAAGUGAGUUCGACAGCUAUGAAAUGGUUAAAGCCUUGUACGACUUCAAAGCCACGUUUGCGAAGACCCUUAGCUUUCGGGAAGGUGAAUAUUUUAUUUUACUACAACGUAAUAUCAAGCAGAAGAACUGGUGGCAAGUUGUAAAUAGAGGCGGCCAUCUGGGCUACAUACCAUCUAAUUACGUCACUCCUAUAAAGGUUCAAUCUCAGUUUAUGAUUGACUUUUUGGAAGACUGUAUAAUAACUCUGGAGACAGAGCUUAGUAAACAUAGUGAAUCACUGCAUACAGACAAGCAAGAUCUUCUAGCAAAAUUAGUAGAAAGGAAGAAGCAAAUUGAAUUAAAUAGAAAACCUAAAAAGCAAGCGCCUAAACCACCGUCAGAUUUAGAAGAUAGCAUUACAUCCAAAGAAGCACAAUCGAUUGCUGUCUGUGACAAUACAAAGACAGAUGUUAGAUCAGUGCCGAGUAAUACUUCUUAUACAACAGCACAGACUAUUCCUCAUACUAAUAUUAAUGCAGAUACUGUUCAAGCAAUUAUACAAUGUCAACAACCAGGUAUAAAUGAACAACGUGUACAAACAUUUCCUCGUCAGUCAUCCUCUGAUACUAUGCAAAAAGUCCAGUCACAAAUUACAGAAGUACGUAAGAGUUCUUCCCAAGGCAGCAUACAGAAUAUAUGCUGUGGCUCACCAGCUAAGAGCAACUCGCCUGCUAAAAGCAGCUCGCCGGCUAAAAGCAACUUAUCGUUGCAAGCUAUUAAUUCACGAAGUGCUUAUCAACUACUCGAUCAAGUACGCAAAAAUACUCAACUUAGUUAUGAAAUGUCAAAAGUAGCAGUUACGGUCGUAGUAUCUGGCCUGCGGCAGUUACUGCCAGAAACUGUAAGUCAUUAUUUCGAUGCUUUGUUGCAUCAGCUACAAACACCACUGACUGUAUCAAAGAUGAGUAUAGAAGAAACUUAUGAUGCUAAUAGGUUGAAAAUAAUUUUUACCGAAUUGACUUCGUGCAAAGAAGAUUCACAACAAAGAAGUUGGAUGCUUUAUGAAGAUGAAUCUAUCAUCGUGGAAUAUAUUAAAGAGUUGACCGAAAUAUUGACGAACGCUGAUGCAAAUGUAUCGAGAUAUGUUUUGAGGCAAGAUCGGUAUAAUGGAGUGACAAUAUUAAUACAAUAUUAUCAAAUGGAAACAAGAUGGACUAUUAGACAAUUGUUGUUGCAAUCAUUUGGUGUUAUGUGCAGUUUGGAUCCAGUGGUUCUAACUAUAAUGUUGAAUAGUAUUUUACCAAUGGAAUUAGCAAGAGAUAUGAAGAGUAAUCCCAGAAAUGUACUAAGAUUAAAUUACUCAUCUUUGUUGCUUACAAUGAUCUUCUCGAUGGGUGAGCCCAUGCCAGUUACGCAUUUGGAACAACUUGGUCCAGACUUUAUAUCAUUCCUUUUAGACCUAAUAGAAACACCACCUGAUACAGAUUUAGAGGAUCAAAUUCCUGACUUGUUCGUAAAUUUAAUAUUAUCCUACAAUCUGCAAUUUACAACUUCUGAAAAUAUAGUUCUAAAUGCCUUACGAGAGCGGACUGUGGCCAAAACUUUCACUGAAAAAAUUUUAUUCCUUUUUAACAGAGAAGAGGAUCCGGUACGGAUAUUCGAUCAUGAGCCACAGCCACCACAUUCUGUAUUGAAACUCUUUAUCGACCUAUUCAGUAAUGAUGUUAUAGCAAGUCUCUUCUACACCAAUGAUGUGAAGGUUCUCAUUGACAUUAUAUUACGGCAACUUUUUGACAUGUUCCCGGGUGAUAAGCGUCGACAAUACUUAGAGCUCUGCCGUCGAGUUCUACGUACGUCAAGCUAUAACGAGCACCGUCAUCGAUCAGAAGAUUUAUUAAAAUGUUUUACCAGGAUAUUCUGCGAGGAAACUACAGAAAGUCAAGAAGACCAACAAGUAGUACGUGAAAUUAGCAACGAAUUUCCACAUUUAUUCAAAAUGUGACAUUUAAUUUCAUCCUCUGAUCAAGAUUUGGAAGAGGAUGAUCUGCAAACUCUUGUCUAAAUAAAUCCUUCAAACUCGUCGAAGAGAGAUACAAAUACUUUUACUAACUUUACUACUCUGGUUAAGCAAAUAACGCUGUUAUUUUGCGAAUGUCUCAAUCAUCUUUACAUAAAAAAAGAACAAAGUAUUAGAUAAAAAUUCAUACAGGAAUUUGUAAGAUUUACUAGGUGCCACUGCAAU
This 2588-nucleotide unclassified non-coding RNA is filed under the name Harpegnathos saltator (Jerdon's jumping ant). RNAcentral's name for it is "nCK-interacting protein with SH3 domain, transcript variant X2". The record is from RNAcentral. Lineage: Eukaryota; Metazoa; Arthropoda; Insecta; Hymenoptera; Formicidae.